Molecule: long non-coding RNA, 918 nt
Organism: Ipomoea triloba (trilobed morning glory)
Lineage: Eukaryota; Viridiplantae; Streptophyta; Magnoliopsida; Solanales; Convolvulaceae
Exons: 2
Source: RefSeq, a predicted model, not a curated record
UUUUAAUACUUUCUUCUUUUCGUUAUUGAGCUGUUGGUGGGUUGGGGCGAGGGGGUGAUUAGAGCUUUUGUGUUGAAGAUGGAAUUCGAAGUGAUUAGAAUUUGAAUGGAGGAUGUUUUCUUAUUGAUUUACAUUUGAAAAUUUGAAUCUAUUCGAGUGUUUAAUGUGUUUUAUUCUUGAUUGCAAUGCUCCUUGUCCUUGGCAGCCAUGGUUGAGUACUUGAAUUGAUGGAUUCCCAGGCAGAAUAGAUUGAAAUAGUGAUUGCUGAACCUGAAAGGUAAGCUGGAGUUACUUAGGUCUCAUAGCACGUAUCAGCUAAUCGGUUACGAGGUAAGCAUUGAAUCGCUUCCAUCCAAAUCGUUUGCUUAGUAGUCCGAAGGGAUCUCUAUUCCCUUCCACCCCUCCCCAUUCAAAGGAAAUUGAAAAGAAAAAAACAGAAACAUACAAAAAACCUUCGGUUUUCAGAGUUUGCCUUGCUGUUGUACACGCAAUCAGAACAUUCUUCCUUGGUGGUUGGAAUAUAGUCCCAAAGGCGAUGAACUUCCAAAAAUGGUAGGCCUCUUUACGGUUCUGCUUGAUGUGAAACCAUAGUUUGAGCAGUUCUGAGUAGGAAGCGUGUGCACACAAAAGUUUUAACCUUUUGUGCCAUUGAUAAGCCUACAAACGAGGUUUGAUAUGGUUGUUAAGUGUUUUUGUCCCAUUACAGGAUACAGUCAAAACUAGAUAACGCUAGUGCCAGUCAAAAGGAACUGACGCGCAGUUGUAGUUGUGGAACAGUUCCAAUUGUCUUAAACAACCACUUCAUUGUCACUGAGGUUGUUAAACUAAAAGCUUCUAGCAAAAAGACGAUUUUACUCCAAUCUCGAGAGUUUCUAUCUAUCUUGUUUUAGAGCUGAGAUAAAGAUUUUUUUUUUUGAA